Molecule: long non-coding RNA, 1541 nt
Filed under: Equus caballus (horse)
Lineage: Eukaryota; Metazoa; Chordata; Mammalia; Perissodactyla; Equidae
Description: lncRNA (ENSECAG00000050396.1)
Source: RNAcentral
CCCCACCCCUCUCCUCACCCCCACUCAGCUCCUCUUACUCUCCUGGAGGGGCAGGCAGGGCUCACUGAGGACCCGCUCUCCCUCCAAGCUCCCGCUGUACCUCCCAUUCAGCACUUUCAAUGGGGACCAAGGGAGAGAAUGAGAGUCAGGGGCUGGUUUCAGCCAGCGAGCAGCAGGCAGAGAGAGAAAAACUGGCAAAGAAGUUUGCUUGUGCUGGGUCCCAGCUUUGUCAGCCAGCUGGGCCAGAUGCCACCGUGGAGGCAUCUGUCUCCACACAUCCUGUUUCUGGGGAUUGAUUCGCACAGCUGUCUCUUAGAUGGAAAGGAGGUGGCUGCCAACAUGACCCAGAGCAUCCUUCCAGCCCUACUUUAGGCAGGAUAGCUGAGUGGGAAGAUCCUGGGUUUUCAGUUGGGCAGGGAUUUCAAUCAGAUUCUGACACUCCCUAGAGGUGUCACCUUGGGUAAAUUGCCCAUAGUGCCAGAGAUGUAUAAUAGCGGUAAGAAUGUUUGGUUCAAAUCCCAGUUCUCCUUCCUAGCUGUGUGGCCUCAGACAACUUACCUGAUAUCUCUGAAUCUCAGUUCUCUGAAUCUCUGAAAUGGGGAUCCUACCUGUACUUAUUCUCGUAGGAUUGUUGGGAAGAUUGAGUGACUUAAUGCACAUUCAAGAGUUUAGAACAGUGCCUGGCACCAAGUGUAGUCUCUGACUGUUAUAACCUUCUCUGAGCCUGUAAAAUGGGGUAACCUCACCUACUUCUGGGGUCAUUCUGAAGGACCAAAGAGCUAAUGGAAGUGAAGCACCUAGUCAUAUGCCUGGCACACAAGAGAUGCUCAAAAAUGGCAAUCUUAAUGGAAGUAGGAUUAUAUAGUAUGAGUCCUUAGUCUGAGAACUACCUUGCGUAAUACACUUUAUGUCUCUGAGGCUCAACUUGGACACCUGUAAAAUGGGGGCACCAACCGGAUGUCCUGCAAGUUUGACUUAAUUCUGACACUGUCUACCUGAAGAUAACAUCAGACCCCACAGGGAAAUUCUAAGGCUUUUAGGAGCUCUGUGCUAAGAAUGGAGAAGACUAAAUAUCCAGACGAACCCAGAGAGGGUAGAGGAAAUGUCUUCCUCCUCUACAGUUUGGCAACUUUGACAGGAUAAAAUUUCACUGGCUGGACACUGCUUGCUCCUGGACUGCUGCAGCUGAGAGAUCCUGGACCCCUGAUGAGAGCCGGCAAGAGCCGUUCUCCACACUAUGCAGAGGGAUUGUUUUAAAACACAAAUGUGAUACAGUCAGCAACUUGAUGGAAACGACCUCAAUGGCUGCUUGCUGCUCUCGAGAUAAAGAUCAACACGCUAUGUCCUACAAGGCCCUGAGGUCUCCAACAGGAGGCUUACCAUCUUCAUCUAGUCCUUAGUUGCAUUUUUUAAAAAAUAAAAUUGAACUGGCAAUGCUCUGUUUCUUGAUCUGGGUGCUGAACACUGGUACUUACCCUGUGAAUAUUCAUCAAGCUCUACUGUUUGAUUUGUGGGCUUGUCUGUAUGUACGGUAUAUUUCA